This 207-nucleotide ribosomal RNA is filed under the name uncultured bacterium. RNAcentral's name for it is "partial 16S ribosomal RNA". It matches the Rfam family "Bacterial small subunit ribosomal RNA", at positions 568 to 774 of the family's 1533-position model. The record is from RNAcentral.
CACGUAGGCGGAUUGUUAAGUCAGGGGUGAAAUCCUGGAGCUCAACUCCAGAACUGCCUUUGAUACUGGCGAUCUUGAGUCCGGGAGAGGUGAGUGGAACUGCGAGUGUAGAGGUGAAAUUCGUAGAUAUUCGCAAGAACACCAGUGGCGAAGGCGGCUCACUGGCCCGGUACUGACGCUGAGGUGCGAAAGCGUGGGGAGCAAACA